Molecule: ribosomal RNA, 106 nt
Filed under: bovine gut metagenome
Source: RNAcentral
GGUGGCUAUGGCGUGGUGGAUCACCUGUUCCCAUCCCGAACACAGAAGUUAAGCACCUCAGUGGCGAAGGUAGUUGGGGUUACCCAGCGAGAAUAGCGCGCCGCUG